Molecule: ribosomal RNA, 1350 nt
Filed under: metagenome
Description: bacterial LSU rRNA
Rfam family: Bacterial large subunit ribosomal RNA
Source: RNAcentral
UGAGUACGAGCUGCUACGGCAGCGAAGUUGGUGAUGUCAUGCUUCCAAGAAAAGCUCUAUACCCGUUAAGGCAUAACUGCCAGUACCCGAAACCGACACAGGUGGGGUGGUAGAGAAUACCGAGGUGCGCGAGGUAACUCUCUCUAAGGAACUCGGCAAAAUGGCCCCGUAACUUCGGGAGAAGGGGUGCCACAGCAAUGUGGUCGCAGUGAAGAGGCCCUGGCGACUGUUUACCAAAAACACAGGUCUCCGCUAAGUCGCAAGACGAUGUAUGGGGGCUGACGCCUGCCCAGUGCCGGAAGGUUAAGGAAGCCGGUCAGCGUAAGCGAAGCUGGCGACUGAAGCCCCGGUGAACGGCGGCCGUAACUAUAACGGUCCUAAGGUAGCGAAAUUCCUUGUCGGGUAAGUUCCGACCCGCACGAAAGGCGUAACGAUCAGGGCGCUGUCUCGGAGAGAGGCUCGGCGAAAUAGAAUUGUCUGUGAAGAUGCGGACUACAUACACCCGGACAGAAAGACCCUAUGAAGCUUUACUGUAGCUUGGUAUUGUGCCCGGGCUCUGAAUGCGCAGGAUAGGUGGGAGACGUUGAUCUAGUGCUCGUGGGUACUAGGGAGUCAAUGGUGAGAUACCACUCUUUCAGAGCUAGGGUUCUAACGUUCACCCGUUAUCCGGGGAGCGGACAGUAUCAGGUGGGUAGUUUGACUGGGGCGGUCGCCUCCUAAAAGGUAACGGAGGCGCGCAAAGGUUUCCUCAGGCUGGUUGGAAAUCAGCCGACGAGUGCAAAAGCAGAAGGAAGCUUGACUGUGAGACCUACAAGUCGAACAGGGACGAAAGUCGGCUUUAGUGAUCCGACGGUUCUGAGUGGAAGGGCCGUCGCUCAACGGAUAGAAGUUACUCUAAGGAUAACAGGCUGAUCUCCCCCAAGAGUUCACAUCGACGGGGAGGUUUGGCACCUCGAUGUCGGCUCAUCGCAACCUGGGGCUGAAGUCGGUCCCAAGGGUUGGGCUGUUCGCCCAUUAAAGCGGUACGCGAGCUGGGUUCAGAACGUCGUGAGACAGUUCGGUCCAUAUCCGGUGUAUGCGUAGGAAUAUUGAGAGGAUUUCUCCCUAGUACGAGAGGACCGGGAGGAACGCACCUCUGGUGUACCAGUUAUCGUGCCAACGGUAAACGCUGGGUAGCCAUGUGCGGAGUGGAUAACCGCUGAAAGCAUCUAAGUGGGAAGCCCACCUCAAGAUGAGUAUUCCCAUGGGGUAACCCAGUAAGGUCACGGGAAGAACACCCGUUGAUAGGCUCUACGUCGAAGUUCAGUAAUGGAUGCAGCGGAGGAGUACUAAUAGACCGAGGGCUUGACC